Molecule: non-coding RNA, 73 nt
Organism: Trichonephila clavipes
Lineage: Eukaryota; Metazoa; Arthropoda; Arachnida; Araneae; Nephilidae
Source: the annotation of a GenBank genome assembly
GCCCAGCUAGUAUGGGGAAUAUGACCUUCGGCUUGUAACCGAGUGGGUUCGGGUUUGAAUCCCGAGUAAGGUA